Molecule: ribosomal RNA, 329 nt
Filed under: Mitobates pulcher
Lineage: Eukaryota; Metazoa; Arthropoda; Arachnida; Opiliones; Gonyleptidae
Description: partial 12S ribosomal RNA
Source: RNAcentral
CCCUAGUAUACACACUUAUUAAUAAAAUUAAUAAUUCUUAAUAAAAAUUAAUAAUUUUGGCGGUAAAUAUAAAAAUUAAAGGAGCUUGUUUUUUAAUUAAGAAUCUGCUCUUUAAAUUUUAAUAUUAAUUUUUGCUUAUUCAUCUCUGUUUUAAAUUUCUUCAGUUAAAUAAAAACUUUUUAAUACUUCAGGUCAAGAUGUAGCUUUUAAUAUAAAAAAUUAGCUACAUUUACAAAGUAUUGGGAUAUAUCUUAUAAAAUUUAUUAAAAAUUGAAUUUAGUAGUAAUACUAUCUAGAAUAAUAAUAUGAUUUUUAAUAUAUUUUAUGUA